Molecule: ribosomal RNA, 264 nt
Filed under: uncultured bacterium
Lineage: Bacteria
Description: partial 16S ribosomal RNA
Rfam family: Bacterial small subunit ribosomal RNA
Source: RNAcentral
UACGUAGGGUGCAAGCGUUGUCCGGAAUUAUUGGGCGUAAAGAGCUCGUAGGCGGUUUGUCGCGUCUGCUGUGAAAACCGGAGGCUCAACCUCCGGCCUGCAGUGGGUACGGGCAGACUAGAGUGCGGUAGGGGAGAUUGGAAAUUCCUGGUGUAGCGGUGGAAUGCGCAGAUAUCAGGAGGAACACCGAUGGCGAAAGGCAGGUCUCUGGGCCGAUACUGACGCUGAGGAGCGAAAGCGUGGGGAGCGAACAGGAUAGAUACC